CAGCAGCCGCGGUAAUACAGAGGGUGCGAGCGUUAAUCGGAUUUACUGGGCGUAAAGCGUGCGUAGGCGGCUUCUUAAGUCGGAUGUGAAAUCCCUGAGCUUAACUUAGGAAUUGCAUUCGAUACUGGGAAGCUAGAGUAUGGGAGAGGAUGGUAGAAUUCCAGGUGUAGCGGUGAAAUGCGUAGAGAUCUGGAGGAAUACCGAUGGCGAAGGCAGCCAUCUGGCCUAAUACUGACGCUGAGGUACGAAAGCAUUGGGAGCAAACAGGAUUAGAUACCCCAGUAGUCCCUGUCUCUUAUAU
RNAcentral lists this ribosomal RNA (301 nucleotides) under uncultured bacterium. Its description in RNAcentral is "partial 16S ribosomal RNA". It matches the Rfam family "Bacterial small subunit ribosomal RNA", at positions 509 to 809 of the family's 1533-position model. The record is from RNAcentral.